RNAcentral lists this ribosomal RNA (400 nucleotides) under uncultured bacterium. RNAcentral describes it as "bacterial SSU rRNA". It matches the Rfam family "Bacterial small subunit ribosomal RNA", at positions 975 to 1375 of the family's 1533-position model. The record is from RNAcentral.
CAGCCCUUGACAUGGCAGGACGGUUUCCGGAGACGGAUUCCUUCACUUCGGUGACCUGCACACAGGUGCUGCAUGGCUGUCGUCAGCUCGUGUCGUGAGAUGUUGGGUUAAGUCCCGCAACGAGCGCAACCCUCGCCUUUAGUUGCCAUCAUUUAAUUGGGCACUCUAGAGGGACUGCCGGUGAUAAGCCGGAGGAAGGUGGGGAUGACGUCAAGUCUUCAUGGCCCUUACGGGCUGGGCUACACACGUGCUACAAUGGCGGUGACAGAGGGCAGCUAGUCCUCGAGGACAUGCUAAUCCCUAAAAGCCGUCUCAAUUCGGAUUGCACUCUGCAACUCGAGUGCAUGAAGUUGGAAUCGCUAGUAAUCGCAGAUCAGCACGCUGCGGUGAAUACGUUCCC